Molecule: ribosomal RNA, 543 nt
Filed under: uncultured bacterium
Lineage: Bacteria
Description: bacterial SSU rRNA
Rfam family: Bacterial small subunit ribosomal RNA
Source: RNAcentral
GAGUUUGAUCAUGGCUCAGAACGAACGCUGGCGGCGUGGAUAAGACAUGCAAGUCGUACGCUGGUAUGCGGGUAGCAAUAUUUGCAUAUUGGAGUGGCGAACGGGUGAGUAACACGUGGGUAAUUUAUCUUUGAGUUAGGGAUAAUUCGCUGAAAGGCGGACUAAUACCGAAUGUGGAUACUGGGUGGGGACAUCUGGUUUCUAAAGUUGGGGACCGAGAGGCCUGGCGCUCACAGGUAAGCCCGCGUCCUAUCAGCUGGUUGGUGAGGUAAGAGCUUACCAAGGCUAUGACGGGUAGCUGGUCUGAGAGGACGAUCAGCCACACUGGAACUGAGACACGGUCCAGACACCUACGGGUGGCAGCAGUCGAGAAUCUUUCUCAAUGGGGGCAACCCUGAAGGAGCGACGCCGCGUGGGGGAUGAAGGGCUUCGGCUCGUAAACCCCUGUCAUUUGUGAGCAGGUGUGAUUGUUUAAGAGAUGGUUACAUAGAUAGUAGCAAAAGAGGAAGGGACGGCUAACUCUGUGCCAGCAGCCGCGGUAAA